AAGACUAAGCCAUGCAUGCCUAAGAAUAAGAGGAAGCAAUUCUCUCUGAAUCUGCGAACGGCUCCGCAAACCAGUUGUAAACUAUAGCAAGCAAGCCCGGGAUCGGCCUUCACGGGCUGGUUCCGGGUGAUAUGGAUAACCCUGGUAAUUCUGAGGCUAAUACAUGACCGUAAAACCUAGCUGACCGGCUUCGGCUGGGAUGCUGGGGGACGUGUGAUUUGGGCUUGGUAACACCGGGAAGGGGCGCACGUCUAGACCACGCUAUAAAGGUCGGUUUCCCCUUCGGGGGGGGCUGUCCCAGUGGCUCUUGCUGUGUGCUUCUGACCUAUCAACUAGACGGCAGCGUAAGGGACAUGCUAUGGUGACAACGGGUACAGAGGAUUAGGGUUCGAUCCUGGAGAGUGGGCCUGAGAGAUUGCUCAUACUUCUAAGGAAGGCAGCAGGCGCGCAACGUUCCCCUUGGGCAAUGCCCGAGGGCGUUAGGGGACAUAUGAAUGCCUGCCCAUUGGGUGGGCAAUUCAAAUGGGUCUGUUGUAAACAGGCUCUCGAGUAACAAU
Molecule: ribosomal RNA, 557 nt
Filed under: Lamproderma aeneum
Lineage: Eukaryota; Evosea; Eumycetozoa; Stemonitida; Stemonitidae
Description: bacterial SSU rRNA
Rfam family: Eukaryotic small subunit ribosomal RNA
Source: RNAcentral